AGCCGAGCGGAGCCCCGGCGGGACACGGCGGCGGCACCGGCGGGAAGAUGGCGGAGCCGGGGGCUGCGCGCAGCCACCCGAGGGCCACAGCCAUUCAUGGAUUUUU
Molecule: long non-coding RNA, 106 nt
Organism: Chiroxiphia lanceolata (lance-tailed manakin)
Lineage: Eukaryota; Metazoa; Chordata; Aves; Passeriformes; Pipridae
Exons: 3
Source: RefSeq, a predicted model, not a curated record